This is a small nucleolar RNA of Theobroma cacao (cacao), 107 nucleotides long. It matches the Rfam family "Plant small nucleolar RNA R71". From Rfam's summary of the family: R71 is a member of the C/D box family of snoRNAs containing the C (UGAUGA) and D (CUGA) box motifs. Multiple nearly identical copies of this snoRNA have been identified in Arabidopsis, and it is thought to function as a 2'-O-ribose methylation guide for 18S ribosomal RNA. NCBI's taxonomy places the organism in Eukaryota, Viridiplantae, Streptophyta, Magnoliopsida, Malvales, Malvaceae. The record is from Rfam.
AAUCCAUGGUGAGGACAUCUUCUUAUCAAAUCCUUAUACCUUUUCCAAGCCUCAUAUAGUGAUUUAGAAUUAAAUUGCAUGAAAGAAGUAACAUCAUUCCGCAUUUU